UGAUAAAUAAACUAUGUUAAGAAAAAAACGAGAUGAUGUUAUGUACUAGAAUAACAUGUAAUGUAAUUUGGUAAAUGGAUGUAAUAAAUAAUGAAAGCUUUGUAUUUUGUUUAAAGUAUUCAAGAUACAAUGAAUGCAUGUAUAGUUAGUUUAUUUUCACUUGUGUUUGUUGCUUGCCCUCGUACAAGCCAUGUAUAUUGAAAUUAAUCCUGAGCUAAUUCUUUAUACAUGAUGGUCGUUGUUGUUGAGCCUUGGGCAGACAGGG
RNAcentral lists this long non-coding RNA (265 nucleotides) under Ananas comosus (pineapple). Its description in RNAcentral is "long non-coding RNA (ACOM_LNC024351)". The record is from RNAcentral. Lineage: Eukaryota; Viridiplantae; Streptophyta; Magnoliopsida; Poales; Bromeliaceae.